RNAcentral lists this ribosomal RNA (407 nucleotides) under uncultured bacterium. RNAcentral describes it as "partial 16S ribosomal RNA". It matches the Rfam family "Bacterial small subunit ribosomal RNA", at positions 28 to 525 of the family's 1533-position model. The record is from RNAcentral.
GACGAACGCUGGCGGCGUGCUUAACACAUGCAAGUCGAACGAAGUGGCGAACGGGUGAGUAACGCGUAAUCAACCUGCCCUUCAGAGGGGGACAACAGUUGGAAACGACUGCUACUACCACAUACUGAAGGAGGGGCUUGCGUCUGAUUCGCUAGUUGGAGGGGUAACGGCCCACCAAGGCGAUGAUCAGUAGCCGGUCUGAGAGGAUGAACGGCCACAUUGGGACUGAGACACGGCCCAGACUCCUACGGGAGGCAGCAGUGGGGAAUCUUCCGCAAUGGACGAAAGUCUGACGGAGCAACGCCGCGUGAGUGAUGACGGCCUUCGGGUUGUAAAGCUCUGUUAAUCGGGACGCGGGACCGGAAUAGAAAGCCACGGAUAACUACGUGCCAGCGGCCGCGGUAAUU